RNAcentral lists this ribosomal RNA (254 nucleotides) under uncultured bacterium. RNAcentral describes it as "partial 16S ribosomal RNA". It matches the Rfam family "Bacterial small subunit ribosomal RNA", at positions 524 to 776 of the family's 1533-position model. The record is from RNAcentral.
UACGAAGGGGGGUUAGCGUUGUUCGGAAUUACUGGGCGUAAAGCGCACGUAGGCGGACAUUUAAGUCAGGGGUGAAAUCCCGGGGCUCAACCCCGGAACGGCCUUUGAUACUGGGUGUCUUGAGUUCGGAAGAGGUGAGUGGAAUUGCGAGUGUAGAGGUGAAAUUCGUAGAUAUUCGCAGGAACACCAGUGGCGAAGGCGGCUCACUGGUCCGAUACUGACGCUGAGGUGCGAAAGCGUGGGGAGCAAACAGG